CGGAGCCGAUCGACCAGGCGCGGGCGGGCGGCCGCAGCCCGCUCGACGCGGGCACGCUGUACGUGGCCCGGUUCGAGGCCGAGGGCACCGGCC
Molecule: transfer RNA, 93 nt
Filed under: Amycolatopsis sp. YIM 10
Lineage: Bacteria; Bacillati; Actinomycetota; Actinomycetes; Pseudonocardiales; Pseudonocardiaceae
Description: tRNA-Cys
Source: RNAcentral